CAGUAGCCGCGGUAAUACGUAGGGUGCAAGCGUUGUCCGGAAUUAUUGGGCGUAAAGAGCUCGUAGGCGGUUUGUCGCGUCUGCUGUGAAAUCCCGAGGCUCAACCUCGGGCUUGCAGUGGGUACGGGCAGACUAGAGUGCGGUAGGGGAGAUUGGAAUUCCUGGUGUAGCGGUGGAAUGCGCAGAUAUCAGGAGGAACACCGAUGGCGAAGGCAGAUCUCUGGGCCGUAACUGACGCUGAGGAGCGAAAGCGUGGGGAGCGAACAGGAUUAGAUACCCGAGUAGUCCCUGUCUCUUAUAC
This 301-nucleotide ribosomal RNA is filed under the name uncultured bacterium. Its description in RNAcentral is "partial 16S ribosomal RNA". It matches the Rfam family "Bacterial small subunit ribosomal RNA", at positions 509 to 807 of the family's 1533-position model. The record is from RNAcentral.